Molecule: long non-coding RNA, 963 nt
Organism: Eriocheir sinensis (Chinese mitten crab)
Lineage: Eukaryota; Metazoa; Arthropoda; Malacostraca; Decapoda; Varunidae
Exons: 5
Source: RefSeq, a predicted model, not a curated record
AAAUAGGUGUUUCUAGGUUCACGGUACAGAGGAAGGGUCACACUACCACCAGGGUCAUAAAACUACCCCUGGAAAUGCCCACAACUCCUACGAAAGCCUUGUCAAAUAGGUGUUUCUAGGUUCACGGUACAGAGGAAGGGUCACACUACCACCAGGGUCAUAAAACUACUCCUGGAAAUGCCCACAACUCCUACGAAAGCCUUGUCAAAUAGGUGUUUCUAGGUUCACUGUACAGAGGAAGGGUCAGACUACCACCAGGGUCAUAAAACUACUCCUGGAAAUGCCCACAACUCCUACGAAAGCCUUGUCAAAUAGGUGUUUCUAGGUUCACUGUACAGAGGAAGGGUCACACUACCACCAGGGUCAUAAAACUACUCCUGGAAAUGCCCACAACUCCUACGAAAGCCUUGUCAAAUAUGUGUUUCUAGGUUCACAGUACAGAAGAAGGGUCACACUACCACCAGGGUCAUAAAACUACCCCUGGAAAUGCCCACAACUCCUACGAAAGCCUUGUCAAAUAUGUGUUUCUAGGUUCACAGUACAGAAGAAGGGUCACACUACCACCAGGGUCAUAAAACUACCCCUGGAAAUGCCCACAACUCCUACGAAAGCCUUGUCAAAUAUGUGUUUCUAGGUUCACGGUACAGAAGAAGGGUCACACUACCACCAGGGUCAUAAAACUACCCCUGGAAAUGCCCACAACUCCUACGAAAGCCUUGUCAAAUACGUGUUUCUAGGUUCACGGUACAGAAGAAGGGUCACACUACCAACAGGGUCAUACAACUACCCCUGGAAAUGCCCACAACUCCUACGAAAGCCUUGUCAAAUAGGUGUUUCUAGGUUCACGGUACAGAGGAAGGGUCAGACUACCACCAGGGUCAUAAAACUACCCCUGGGAAUGCCCACAACUCCUACGAAAGCCUUGUCAAAUAGGUGUUUCUAGGUUCACGGUACAGAGGAAGG